UUUUUUUGAGGGGGCUGGAUACUAGAUGCCCAUUUCUUCUAUUUUUUAUUUUGAGACAGAGUCUUGCUAAGUUGCUGAGGCUGACCUGGAAUUUGGAAUCCUCCUACCUCUGCCUCCCCAGUCGCUGAGGUUACAGGCAUGUGCCACCACUGUGCCUGGCAUUUCAUGGCAUUUUAUCAUUAUUGGUUCAAUACAAGGUCCCGGCUCAUUAAUUUACCAUUCGCUUUUAUCCCUUCAUUCUCCACACUAACACUUGUUUCUCACCUUUCCUAAAGACAGACAUUUAUUUUUCUUUAUAACAUGAUUACUUUUGGUUAUCUCGUUUUUAAAUUUUUUUUUUUUAGUUGUAGAUGGGCACAAUGCAUUUAUUUAUUUAUUUGUUUUUGUGUGGUGUUGAGGAUUGAACCCAGUGCUAUGCAAGCAUCACACGUGCUAGGCAAGCACUCUAACACUGAACUACACCCCCAGCCCUGUUUUGAUUAUAGCUUAAAAUAAAUAGACUUUUAAGAGCAAUUUAAGAUUCACUGCAAAAUUAAGCAGAAUGUACAGAGUUCUCAUGCACCCCUUUCCCAUCCCCCAUACAGCCUCCUCCACUAUCAGUAUCACUCACCAGAAUGAUACCUUUUCUCCAAUUGAUGAAACUACAUUGAGUAUUGUCACACAAAAUUCUGUUGUUUACAUUGAAGUUCACUUUUGGAGCUAUACAUUCUGUAGGUUUUGAAAAAAUAUGAUAAUAUGUAGUUAACAUGAUAGUGUCAUACAGAAGAGUUUAACAGCCCCCCAAAUCCUCCACACGCCAUCUAUUCAUUCCUACUUCUCCUCUAAUACCUGGCACCACUUAGAUUAGAAUCAUAAAGUCUUUUUAGAUUUUUUUCUUUCACUAGUAAUAUGCAUUUAAAGUUUCCCCAUCUUUCCAUGGCUUG
Molecule: long non-coding RNA, 923 nt
Filed under: Marmota monax (woodchuck)
Lineage: Eukaryota; Metazoa; Chordata; Mammalia; Rodentia; Sciuridae
Source: RNAcentral